GAUGAAGAACGCAGCGAAAUGCGAUAAGUAAUGUGAAUUGCAGAAUUCAGUGUAUCAUCGAAUCUUUGAACGCACCUUGCGCUCUUUGGUAUUCCGAAGAGCAUGCCUGUUUGAGUGUCAUGAAAAUAUCAACCUUGACUUGGGUUUUGUGCUCUAGUCUCGGCUUGGAAUUGGGUGCUUGCCGCUUUUACGAGCGGCUCACCUUAAAUGUAUUAGCUGGAUCUGUCUUUGAGACUUGGUUUGACUUGGCGUAAUAAGUAUUUCGCUAAGGACAUUCUUCGGAGUGGCCUCGUUUCUAGGACGCUUGUCCGCUUUCCAAUACAAGUUCCACCUCGUGGACAUGACUUUUUAUUAUCUGGCCUCAAAUCAGGUAGGACUACCCGCUGAACUUAAGCAUAUCAAUAAGCGGAGGA
RNAcentral lists this unclassified non-coding RNA (413 nucleotides) under soil metagenome. RNAcentral describes it as "partial contains 5.8S ribosomal RNA, internal transcribed spacer 2, and large subunit ribosomal RNA". The stretch from base 1 to 120 matches the Rfam family "5.8S ribosomal RNA", at positions 35 to 154 of the family's 154-position model. The record is from RNAcentral.